UCUACAAGAUUUUGCGUUUCAUUGUCAUUCUAAGAUCAACUUUAAUAAUCAAUUACAACAAAAUGAUUAUGCUGUCAUGAAUGAUUAAUUGCAAUCCUGUGAAAAUAUUACCAAUAUUAUAGAAUGCAUGCUCAAUUAAGAUUCAUCUCAGCAUGACACAGUAAACACGCCUACUUAAUUCAUUGUAGAACAAUUAUCAUUUGACUGGUCACAAAAUGUUUCCUUAAAGAAUAAGUGUAACAUCUACUUUCCUUAUUGUCGCUAGAGGAAAGGAAAUAUUUAUCCAAAGUCAUCAGAGUGUUUUGGACAGGGAUCACAGGAUUUUAUUUUUGUACUCAUCAGACGGGUUCUGACAGGGACCACUGUACCUUAUUUCUCUCAGGAGGACACAGGAUUUUAGUUUUGUAUUCAUCAGACGGGUUCUGACAGGGAUCACUGUACCUUAUUUCUCUCAGGAGGGCACAGGAUUUUAGUUUUGUACUCAUCAGACGGGUUCUGACAGGGAUCACUGUACCUUAUUUCUCUCAGGAGGAGUACCUUCUCGGGGGUAUCCAACAUCGCCAAUAGAACUUCUAGCAACCUGUCCAAGUCGUGACGUUCAUGAUUCCACGCAAUAUAAUCAACAUAAUUCAUUCCUUCGACAUGAGAAGGCAAGACACAGCGUUAAUCUUACAUAACUAAACCAGCUGUCGGAAGCCAAAGGGUAACAAACAGCUUUUGAUUCUAGAUGAGACAAACAAAUUAAAGUGCGGGUUUGCUGUACAUUUAUCAAUAGGUACACUGCGGAUGGGGAUCCAGCUUCAUGUAUGCUUGUCAAAUUAAGAUAAAAGUGCGUUAAUGCACUUGUAACAAUUCUCUCACAUUCAACGAGAUCGUUUAUAUUUUGUAAAACCUUUGAAGAUUACAAAAGUGUUCAU
Long non-coding RNA from Ostrea edulis (European flat oyster), 917 nucleotides. RefSeq lists it as uncharacterized. The transcript is spliced from 3 exons. Lineage: Eukaryota; Metazoa; Mollusca; Bivalvia; Ostreida; Ostreidae. The record is from RefSeq and is a predicted model, not a curated record.